UCCGGUUCCAUCGCCCCGAAGUCCAUGGGUUUUUUGAAUGGGUUUUUCUAAAUCGCCUGAAAUAAGCGGUUGCUAACAAAUUGCUAAAAGGGACUACUUCCUUUGGCGGGGACUUUAGACGUCAUCAUGACAAACAGGACAUUUGGACAGCAUUUCUCAUGAAAAAGUGGAUAAGUAUUCAUACACAGCGUAGAUCAUAAUCAGCAAGCAUGUUUUUAAAUAAAGUUGUUUUUUAAAUAAAGUUUGAGGAAGCUUGGUGGUGGUGACGUUGAUCUGCGACCAUGGUGUGCUGCAGUCCGUUUAUAGCCUACUGUUAGCUUUUUAUAUCUGACAACUUUAUUUAGGCUUCAAAAUGUAUAAAUGUUGUGUUAACUUGUGAAGAUUAUCUUGAUAGACAAAACAUGUAAGUGUCAUAACCCUUUGUUAAACACAGCUUAUUUUUUGCAAUUUUCCAAAAGUCUAUGGGAAAAAUGCAUUGGCUUUCGAUCGAGGGAACCCGUGUGCCGCUAACUUCCGGGUUGGCCUACAAAAACACGUCAUCUCUGAGAUUAAAACAGUGCAAAUGAAGGAGAAGAAACAGAGGGAUGAGGAGAAGCUGUUCUGCAGUCUCGCUGCACACGGACACCGGGGGAAUGCUUGAGAAACAAAAUGCUUACCGGCCUAAAAGAGAGGCUUGGUUGCGUGACAGCGCUUUAAUUGCUUCAUUACUGUAAUUAAUUUGCUCUCUUUUCAAUUAGCAGCUGGGCCUUAGUGAUGUUUUUCAGCUGUUAUUUUCUUCUGUUUUCUUUCAUUUGCUCUCUCUUUCUCUUUCUCUCUCUGGUCUCGUGGGAAAGACCUGAAGUUGCACCCCUCAAAAGUGAAAGUCCAGAGAACCUUCUAGAGCAGUGACUGUAAUGUACCGCUCAUCCUCCAACACAUCUGCCUCCCUUUCACUUUCAGUUUUAUGGAGUUUUAUUGCCAUAACCAGAAAUGAAUCUGUGCUGCACAUAAAGCUCCACAGUUUUUCACAGAAUUUCAGUGCCUACCAAAUCAUACAAUUCCACACAUCACUCACACCUUGCAUGUUUAUUUAUUGGUGAACGUGAUUUCAUCAUGCUCCUACAUCAACAUCUUUGUUGAUCCUGGAAGAAUAUUGCAAUCAUCCAAUCAGAUUUGAGGGACAAGUUUACAGUUUAUGUCAGGUUUAGGUUUACAACCAGGGUUAGGUGCUUCUACAUCAGUUAUUCAUCAUUUCUCUUGGAUUUCAGGGAUAUGUUAUGAGUUAGAACUGUUUUCAGACAGGAAUAUU
Ctenopharyngodon idella (grass carp) is the source of this 1288-nucleotide long non-coding RNA. RefSeq lists it as uncharacterized. The transcript has 3 exons. The record is from RefSeq and is a predicted model, not a curated record. NCBI's taxonomy places the organism in Eukaryota, Metazoa, Chordata, Actinopteri, Cypriniformes, Xenocyprididae.